AGUGAACGCUGGCGGUAGGCCUAACACAUGCAAGUCGAACGGCAGCACAGUAAGAGCUUGCUCUUACGGGUGGCGAGUGGCGGACGGGUGAGGAGUACAUCGGAAUCUACUUUUUCGUGGGGGAUAACGUAGGGAAACUUACGCUAAUACCGCAUACGACCUACGGGUGAAAGCAGGGGAUCUUCGGACCUUGCGCGAUUGAAGGAGCCGAUGUCGGAUUAGCUAGUUGGCGGGGGAAAGGCCCACCAAGGCGACGAUCCGUAGCUGGUCUGAGAGGAUGAUCAGCCACACUGGAACUGAGACACGGUCCAGACUCCUACGGGAGGCAGCAGUGGGGAAUAUUGGACAAUGGGCGCAAGCCUGAUCCAGCCAUACCGCGUGGGUGAAGAAGGCCUUCGGGUUGUAAAGCCCUUUUGUUGGGAAAGAAAAGCAGCAGGUUAAUACCCCGCUGUUCUGACGGUACCCAAAGAAUAAGCACCGGCUAACUUCGUG
RNAcentral lists this ribosomal RNA (492 nucleotides) under uncultured bacterium. Its description in RNAcentral is "partial 16S ribosomal RNA". It matches the Rfam family "Bacterial small subunit ribosomal RNA", at positions 29 to 507 of the family's 1533-position model. The record is from RNAcentral.